Odobenus rosmarus divergens (Pacific walrus) is the source of this 2210-nucleotide RNA transcript. It is a transcript of the gene named serine/threonine-protein phosphatase 2A 56 kDa regulatory subunit gamma isoform-like, with no coding region annotated. NCBI's taxonomy places the organism in Eukaryota, Metazoa, Chordata, Mammalia, Carnivora, Odobenidae. The transcript is spliced from 3 exons. The record is from RefSeq and is a predicted model, not a curated record.
AUGGCUCAUGUGGCUGUGGGCUAUGACUGUGACCCUGAAGAGGGAUGGUGGGGCGGCCCAGUCCCCCCGCCGGGGGCAGAAGCGACCCCGAGGCCACAUGUGUGGUCAGAGAGACUAAGAGUCCUCACAUGUAGGAGUCCAGGCCGCCUCAAAGCAGUUGCACGUCGUCUGGACGCCGAGCCCGAGGAGCUCUCUCUCCUUGAGGAUCCGGAAAGAAAACGUGGAGACCGAAGUACCAAUGGCAUGCGAGCGGAUCCACUGGUCGAUGAUGGCCACGCUGCCGUCCCUGUAGAGCUCCAUCUCCUCCCACGUGGGCUCGAACUCACCAUCUCCAGCAAUAGCUUCUUCAGCUCCUCGUGUUCCGUUCUGAUGCGUCUGUGGCCACCAACACCUUGUCCAGCUGGCCGCCGCCGCGGCUGCCGCAGCCUGUGGAAGCCUGGAAAAGGGGAAGUGCGAGCGAGCGAGCGACUCAGUCCCCGGGCGGCGGAGGCAGCGGCGGAGGCAGCGGCGGCGGCCGGGGCGGCCCCGGGCGGGGGCGCUGCUGCUGCAGCGGAGGGCAGGCGGUGGCUGUCCGCACCAGCCACGCUGAAUAAAAACAAGAAGGAGAAAGAAUCACCAAAAGCAGGGAAAAGUGGAAAAAGUUCAAAAGAAGGACAAGACAUAAUAGAAUCAGAGAUUUCCAGCAGGAAAAACAGCCUAGCUGCCACGCCGUCAACAGUGUCUAGCAAAAUAAAAGUGCCAAUCCCUCAGCCCAUAGUGAAGAAAGAGAAGCGGCAAAAUUCUCCCAGGUUUAAUGCCAGCAAUAACAGAGAACUUCAAAAACUACCCUCUUUAAAAGAUGUUCCUCCUGCUGAUCAAGAGAAGCUUUUUAUCCAGAAGUUACGUCAGUGUUGUGUCCUCUUUGACUUUGUUUCUGAUCCACUAAGUGACCUAAAGUGGAAGGAGGUAAAACGAGCUGCUUUAAGUGAAAUGGUAGAAUAUAUCACCCAUAAUCAGAAUGUGAUCACAGAGCCUAUUUACCCAGAAGUAGUCCAUAUGUUUGCAGUUAACAUGUUUCGAACAUUACCGCCUUCCUCCAAUCCUACGGGAGCAGAAUUUGACCCCGAGGAAGACGAGCCCAUGUUAGAAGCAGCCUGGCCUCACCUACAGCUUGUUUAUGAAUUUUUUCUUAAGAUUUUUAGAGUCUCCAGAUUUCCAACCUAAUAUAGGGAAGAAAUAUAUUGUCAGAAGUUUGUAUUGCAGUUUUUAGAGCUCUUUGACAGUGAAGAUCCUCGAGAGAGAGAUUUUCUUAAAAUUACCCUUCACAGAAUUUGUGGAAAAUUCUUAGGCUGAAGAGCUUACAUCAGAAAACAAAUAAUAUAUUUUAUAGGUUUAUUUAUGAAACAGAGCAUCACAACGGCAUAACAGAAUUAUGGGGAGUAUAAUUAAUGGAUUUGGGGAGUAUAAUUAAUGGAUUUGCCUUACCACUAAAAGAAGAGCACAAGAUUUUCUUACUGAAGGUGUUGCUACGUUUGCACAAAGUGAAAUCUCUGAGUGUCUACCAUCCACAGCUGGUAUACUGUGUAGUCCAAUUUUUAGAAAAGGACAGCACCCUCACUGAGCCGGUGGUGAUGGCGCUUCUCAAAUACUGGCCAAAGACUCACAGUCCAAAAGAAGUCAUGUUCUUAAAUGAAUUAGAAAAGAUCUUAGACAUGAUCGAACCGUCGGAAUUUGUGAAGAUCAUGGAGCCGCUCUUCUGGCAGCUGGCCAAAUGUGUGUCCAGCCCACACUUCCAGGUGGCAGAGCGAGCGCUGUAUUACUGGAACAAUGAGUGCAUCAAGAGCCUGAUCAGCGACAAUGCAGCAAAGAUCCUACCCAUCAUGUUUCCUUCUUUGUACCGCAACUCCAAGACCCACUGGAACAAGACAAUACAUGGCUUGAUCUACAACGCGCUGAAGCUCUUCAUGGAAAUGAACCAGAAACUGUUUGACGACUGCACCCAGCAGUUUAAAGCAGAGAAACUGAAAGAGAAGCUAAAAAUGAAAGAAUGAGAAGAAGCGUGGGUUAAAAUAGAAAAUCUAGCCAAAGCAAACCCCCAGGCACAGGAAGAUCUGAAGAAGGACUCGCCUGUCGUGUGCCGCAAGUCCGAGCUGCCUCAGGACCUCCACACCAAGAACACCUUGGAGGCUCACUGGGGAGCUAAUGAGCUGGUCUCCCAGGACGGGCGCUAG